RNAcentral lists this long non-coding RNA (586 nucleotides) under Malus domestica (apple). Its description in RNAcentral is "long non-coding RNA (MDOM_LNC004399)". The record is from RNAcentral. Lineage: Eukaryota; Viridiplantae; Streptophyta; Magnoliopsida; Rosales; Rosaceae.
UUGAAGGUCUAGCUACCAUAUUAUUACCCACAAGGGUAAAGGAACAGUACCACUGCUGGAUAAUUGGAAUGUCCCGGUGUGUCAACCUCUGUGCUUCGUGGCAAGGUAGACUAGCAAACAUGCCUAACCUUUACUCACAUUCGAGAAAACACUCCCAACAAGAUUGCUUGCCCCAAAAUCGAAGAGGCACCGCCCUCCGAAUCUCGAGAGCCAGACUCCCAACAUGAUUACUUUCUCAAAAAUCGAAGAGAGGGUAAAGGAACAGUACCACUGCUGGAUAAUUGGAAAGUCCCUGUGUGUCAACCUUUGUGCUUCGUGGCAAGGUAGACUAGCAAACAUGCCCAACCUUUACUCACAUUCGAGAAAACACUGCCAACAAGAUUGCUUGCUCCAAAAUCGAAGAGGCACCGCCUUCCGAAUCUCAAGAGCCAAACUCCCAACAUGAUUACUUUCUCAAAAAUCGAAGAGAGGGUAAAGGAACAGUACCACUACUGGAUAAUUGGAAAGUCCCUGUGUGUCAACCUCUGUGCUUCGUGGCAAGGUAGACUAGCAAACAUGCCCAACCUUUACUCACAUUCGAGAAAAC